Molecule: ribosomal RNA, 490 nt
Filed under: uncultured bacterium
Lineage: Bacteria
Description: partial 16S ribosomal RNA
Rfam family: Bacterial small subunit ribosomal RNA
Source: RNAcentral
AUUGAACGCUGGCGGCAGGCCUAACACAUGCAAGUCGAACGGUAACAGGAAGACGCUUGCUUCUUUGCUGACGAGUGGCGGACGGGUGAGUAAUGUCUGGGAAACUGCCUGAUGGAGGGGGAUAACUACUGGAAACGGUAGCUAAUACCGCAUAACGUCGCAAGGCCAAAGAGGGGGACCUUCGGGCCUCUUGCCAUCGGAUGUGCCCAGAUGGGAUUAGCUAGUAGGUGGGGUAACGGCUCACCUAGGCGACGAUCCCUAGCUGGUCUGAGAGGAUGACCAGCCACACUGGAACUGAGACACGGUCCAGACUCCUACGGGAGGCAGCAGUGGGGAAUAUUGCACAAUGGGCGCAAGCCUGAUGCAGCCAUGCCGCGUGUAUGAAGAAGGCCUUCGGGUUGUAAAGUACUUUCAGCGGGGAGGAAGGGAGUAAAGUUAAUACCUUUGCUCAUUGACGUUACCCGCAGAAGAAGCACCGGCUAACUCCGUG